RNAcentral lists this unclassified non-coding RNA (278 nucleotides) under Psathyrella ornatispora. RNAcentral's name for it is "partial internal transcribed spacer region". The stretch from base 1 to 46 matches the Rfam family "Eukaryotic small subunit ribosomal RNA", at positions 1786 to 1831 of the family's 1831-position model. Lineage: Eukaryota; Fungi; Basidiomycota; Agaricomycetes; Agaricales; Psathyrellaceae. The record is from RNAcentral.
AAGUCGUAACAAGGUUUCCGUAGGUGAACCUGCGGAAGGAUCAUUACUGAAUAAACUUGGUGGGUUGUAGCUGGCUCCUAGGAGCAUGUGCACACUCAUCAUAUUUAUCCAUCCACCUGUGCACACUCUGUAGUCUUGAGAGGAAUUGGGUUACUAAUGACUCUUGAGUUCUAUGUGACUUUAUAAACUACAUAGCCUGUCGCAGAAUGUUAUUUUAUUGGGCCUCUUGUGCCUAUAAAAACUUUAUACAACUUUCAGCAACGGAUCUCUUGGCUCUC